Molecule: ribosomal RNA, 520 nt
Filed under: uncultured Glomeromycotina
Lineage: Eukaryota; Fungi; Glomeromycota
Description: SSU rRNA
Rfam family: Eukaryotic small subunit ribosomal RNA
Source: RNAcentral
AGCAGCCGCGGUAAUUCCAGCUCCAAUAGCGUAUAUUAAAGUUGUUGCAGUUAAAAAGCUCGUAGUUGAAUUUCGGGGUCAGCAGGUUGGUCGUGCCACUGGUAUGUACUGGCUUUGCUGAUUCCUCCUUCUUGUAGAACCGUAAUGCCAUUAAUUUGGUGUUGCGGGGAAACAGGACUGUUACUUUGAAAAAAUUAGAGUGUUUAAAGCAGGCUAACGCUUGAAUACAUUAGCAUGGAAUAAUGAAAUAGGACGAGCGAUCCUAUUUUGUUGGUUUCUAGGAUUGACGUAAUGAUUAAUAGGGAUAGUUGGGGGCAUUAGUAUUCAAUUGUCAGAGGUGAAAUUCUUGGAUUUAUUGAAGACUAACUACUGCGAAAGCAUUUGCCAAGGAUGUUUUCAUUAAUCAAGAACGAAAGUUAGGGGAUCGAAGACGAUCAGAUACCGUCGUAGUCUUAACCAUAAACUAUGCCGACUAGGGAUCGGAUGAUGUUAAUUUAUAAUGACUCAUUCGGCGCCUUAC